Molecule: long non-coding RNA, 562 nt
Organism: Heterocephalus glaber (naked mole-rat)
Lineage: Eukaryota; Metazoa; Chordata; Mammalia; Rodentia; Bathyergidae
Source: Ensembl
GCAGUAGCCACGUGUAGUGGACAGAGCAGAUCCCAAAUGUUCCAUAAUCGCAGAAAGCUCUGUUGGAUGGUGCUGCUGUGAACACCUCACUCAUGUUGGACAGACACCUACGGGGAGGUCCAGGACAACACUGUUCAGAGAGGCAGCCUACCUGUAUCUUCUUCAGCUUCUAAAACAGGAUUUGGCAGGAGUGGUGGUGCAUGCCUGUGAUUCCAGCACUCAGAAAGCUGAGGCAGGAGGAUCUCCAUGAGUUUGAGGCCAGCUGGAGUAUGUAGUAAGUUCAAGGACACCCUGAUCUACAAACUGGAAGGAAAGCUGGACCUGCUUUUGUGUUCAAGACACUCAACGCCCAGCUCUCAUGUACCUCCUCCUCAAGGCUGUCCUCAGUUUGCUUGUUGGUUUGUGGGGUGUGUUUUGUUUUUUGCUUUGUUUUGAAACAAGGUCUUGCUGUGCAGUUCAGGCUGGUCUUGAACUCACUACAUAGCUCAAGCUGCCCCCAAACUUGAGAUAAUCCUUCUGCCUCAGCCUCCCCAGUUCUAGGAUUAUAGGUGUGCACCAGGCC